AUGUGCCUUUGUGUGGGGGAUAACCAUUGGAAACGAUGGCUAAUACCGCAUAAUGUCUUCGGACCAAAGGGGGGAACUUGUUCCUCUCGCGCAAAGAGUAACCCAAGCGAGAUUAGCUAGUUGGUGAGGUAAAGGCUCACCAAGGCGACGAUCUCUAGCUGUUCUGAGAGGAAGAUCAGCCACACUGGAACUGAGACACGGUCCAGACUCCUACGGGAGGCAGCAGUGGGGAAUAUUGCACAAUGGGCGCAAGCCUGAUGCAGCCAUGCCGCGUGUGUGAAGAAGGCCUUCGGGUUGUAAAGCACUUUCAGUUGUGAGGAAAGGUUAAUGGUUAAUACCCAUUAGCUGUGACGUUAGCAACAGAAGAAGGACUGGCUAACUCCGUGCCAGCAGCCGCGGUAAUACGGAGGGUCCGAGCGUUAAUCGGAAUUACUGGGCGUAAAGCGCACGCAGGCGGUUUGUUAAGCUAGAUGUGAAAGCCCCGGGCUCAACCUGGGAAUUGCAUUUAGAACUGGCAGGCUAGAGUCUUGGAGAGGGGAGUGGAAUUCCAGGUGUAGCGGUGAAAUGCGUAGAUAUCUGGAGGAACAUCAGUGGCGAAGGCGACUCCCUGGCCAAAGACUGACGCUCAUGUGCGAAAGUGUGGGUUAGCGAACAG
Molecule: ribosomal RNA, 655 nt
Filed under: uncultured bacterium
Lineage: Bacteria
Description: bacterial SSU rRNA
Rfam family: Bacterial small subunit ribosomal RNA
Source: RNAcentral